This 89-nucleotide non-coding RNA is filed under the name Pectobacterium carotovorum. Lineage: Bacteria; Pseudomonadati; Pseudomonadota; Gammaproteobacteria; Enterobacterales; Pectobacteriaceae. The record is from RNAcentral.
CUCAAUGGUGGGCCGGGCGGAGGCACCGCAAGGUGCGCCGGUGUCCAGUAAGGCCGGUAAGACCAACUCCGUCCGGUUCCACCACCAGA